AUGAACGCUGGCGGCGUGCCUAAUACAUGCAAGUCGAGCGAACAGAUGAGGAGCUUGCUCCUCUGACGUUAGCGGCGGACGGGUGAGUAACACGUGGAUAACCUACCUAUAAGACUGGGAUAACUUCGGGAAACCGGAGCUAAUACCGGAUAAUAUAUUGAACCGCAUGGUUCAAUAGUGAAAGACGGUUUUGCUGUCACUUAUAGAUGGAUCCGCGCCGCAUUAGCUAGUUGGUAAGGUAACGGCUUACCAAGGCAACGAUGCGUAGCCGACCUGAGAGGGUGAUCGGCCACACUGGAACUGAGACACGGUCCAGACUCCUACGGGAGGCAGCAGUAGGGAAUCUCCCGCAAUGGGCGAAAGCCUGACGGAGCAACGCCGCGUGAGUGAUGAAGGUCUUCGGAUCGUAAAACUCUGUUAUUAGGGAAGAACAAAUGUGUAAGUAACUAUGCACGUCUUGACGGUACCUAAUCAGAAAGCCACGGCUAACUACGUG
RNAcentral lists this ribosomal RNA (496 nucleotides) under uncultured bacterium. RNAcentral's name for it is "partial 16S ribosomal RNA". It matches the Rfam family "Bacterial small subunit ribosomal RNA", at positions 29 to 507 of the family's 1533-position model. The record is from RNAcentral.